This 470-nucleotide ribosomal RNA is filed under the name uncultured Pseudomonadota bacterium. RNAcentral describes it as "bacterial SSU rRNA". It matches the Rfam family "Bacterial small subunit ribosomal RNA", at positions 8 to 522 of the family's 1533-position model. Lineage: Bacteria; Pseudomonadati; Pseudomonadota. The record is from RNAcentral.
AGAGUUUGAUCCUGGCUCAGAGCGAACGCUGGCGGCAGGCCUAAUACAUGCAAGUCGAGCGGGUGUAGCAAUACACCAGCGGCAGACGGGAGAGUAACACGUGGGAACGUGCCCUUCAGUUCGGAACAACCCAGGGAAACUUGGGCUAAUACCGGAUACGUCCGUAAGGAGAAAGAUUUAUCGCUGAAGGAUCGGCCCGCGUCUGAUUAGCCUGUUGGUGAGGUAACGGCUCACCAAGGCGACGAUCAGUAGCUGGUCUGAGAGGAUGAUCAGCCUCACUGGGACUGAGACACGGCCCAGACUCCUACGGAAGGCAGCAGUAGGGAAUAUUGGACAAUGGGCGCAAGCCUGAUCCAGCCAUGCCGCGUGGGUGAUGAAGGCCCUAGGGUUGUAAAGCCCUUUCGGCGGGGAAGAUAAUGACGGUACCCGCAGAAGAAGCCCCGGCUAACUUCGUGCCAGCAGCCGCGGUA